UUUGUUUCGAAGAGCAUCCACCGACCGACACACACAAACACACACCCUACCUCCUACAUCACCAGCAAAUCUGAGAAGGCAGAGCAGGAGGAGUUUAUGAUUGGUGAGCUCUUCCUCCCUCUUUGCCAUCUACGGUGUAAAACCUCUGAGCCUCCUCUUGCAGAGGAAGAAGCUACUCUCGCCAAAGUUCCAUCAUUCUGAGCUGUGGACGGUGUAACCAUGAAGGCCAUCCUGCUUGUUGCCGUUGCUCUGUUGAUGAAUCUGGUUAUGGCUGCUGAUCAGGCAUCUGAGAAAACACAAGAAAAUAAGAGUACCCCCGCCACUUUUGCCAAGAGUAGCCAAGUCAUGCUCUUUUGUGGCCCAGCUUCCUUUCUGCUGCCGCUCCUGUUGGUUGCGGUUCUCCUCCACCGAGUAGUCUGAUCCAGGAGCCCUGGAGGGUUUUCUUCGGAGAGCCAUCGCAACCCACUCCAUCCCCGGGGGAACCCCACCUCUCCAUCGCUAAGAGCCUCACCCUCCAGCCAGCAACUCUAUCUGCUCUCGCUGCCCUGAUCCCCGUAAUCCUGCGCCUUGCAUCGAUAGCUACAAUCCGAGGCUUUGGGGCUCAACCUUCGGCCGCAGCAGCCAACCGACCUGAGAAAUGAAAAUGAAUCCAGAAGGACUGUCAGAUGUAGAUCCCAAGUUCACGGGUUCAUACCGAGGAGGCCCGCACAACGCGUGAUGCGCAGAGGAAGCGUGCGCAGAAGCACGGUUGGUACACAGAAGAUCGAGCAUGACCCUUCAUGAAGAGCUUUUGGUGCCUCUCCAUGUCCACACAUUAACCAGAGCUACCAACCCACCAGGACGUUUUCUUGGGCAGGCUGUCAACGAACACUCUUGCGCAACUCCUGUUGGCCUCACUUACUAGAACAUCCUGAGCCAUCAGGGCUGAGACCUGCGUCCCACUCUGCGUCCCACCCUUAAUGGGUACCCAGAAAUCUUGACAUCCAAAGAAGACCACCUCACCUUGUCUCAUGAGAUGACCACCCUGCUCUGUUUGCGCAAACUCGCCCGUAAAUGCUGGUGAUGUGAGUAGUGUUCUACUGGCUCAAGAAGCAUUUGGGGAAAUGUACAGAUGACAAGAGCCAAAUCCUCAAGAGGUCCCCGUCUCGAGCUGUGGCAUUACAGGUGGGGGAUGCCAACUCUUCAACCCACAACGUCACUGAACAGGGUCCAAGGUGGAAACGAUGCAAGGGAAAAAUGGUGUUUGUAAAUGCGGUGCUGUUGUCUCCCAGAAACCCCAUGCAAUCAAUUAAAUAAAUGCUUCUUGGCCAGCAAAUUC
Elgaria multicarinata webbii is the source of this 1318-nucleotide long non-coding RNA. RefSeq lists it as uncharacterized. The record is from RefSeq and is a predicted model, not a curated record. Lineage: Eukaryota; Metazoa; Chordata; Lepidosauria; Squamata; Anguidae. The transcript is spliced from 2 exons.